GAUCUUAUUUGGUCAUCCAGGCUGGACUGCAGUGGUGUGAUCAUAGCUCACUGCAGCCUCAAACUGCUGGACUCCAGUGAUCUUCCAGCCUCAGCCUCCCCCAGUAGCAAGGACUACAGGGUCCCAGAAGGAACCAACGCUGCCCACACCUUAAUUUGAGACUUCUGGCCUCUGAGAAAUGAGAAAGAGUCUCUCUCUCUGUCGCCCAGCCUGGAGUGCAGUGGCACCAUCUGAGCUCACUACAACCUCCGCCUCCCGGGUUCAAGCGAUUCUCCUG
This is a long non-coding RNA of Pan troglodytes (chimpanzee), 277 nucleotides long. RefSeq lists it as uncharacterized. Lineage: Eukaryota; Metazoa; Chordata; Mammalia; Primates; Hominidae. The transcript has 3 exons. The record is from RefSeq and is a predicted model, not a curated record.